AACUCCUAUCUAACUUACAGACAGGUGCAAAAAAUAAAUCCUCUUUUGCAACCUAGGAUUCAUUGUACAGUAUGAAUUUUGAUGCAUAUAAGAAGGAAUAUG
Molecule: small nucleolar RNA, 102 nt
Filed under: Castor canadensis (American beaver)
Lineage: Eukaryota; Metazoa; Chordata; Mammalia; Rodentia; Castoridae
Description: Small nucleolar RNA SNORA40 (ENSCCNG00000009196.1)
Rfam family: Small nucleolar RNA SNORA40
About the family: The snoRNA ACA 40 belongs to the H/ACA family of snoRNAs and guides the pseudouridylation of 28S rRNA subunit at position U4565. NB This family has a high threshold value to exclude a large number of closely related sequences that do not appear to have conserved H and ACA boxes, and may be pseudogenes.
Source: Rfam by way of RNAcentral